This 571-nucleotide ribosomal RNA is filed under the name Trigonopterus honjensis. RNAcentral describes it as "partial 16S ribosomal RNA". Lineage: Eukaryota; Metazoa; Arthropoda; Insecta; Coleoptera; Curculionidae. The record is from RNAcentral.
AGAUAGAAACCGMCCUGGCUCMCMCCGGUUUAAACUCAGAUCAUGUAAAAUUUUACAGGUCGAACAGACCCAAUCAUUCAGCUUCUACACCAAACUUUUAUUUUAAUCCAACAUCGAGGUCGCAACCCUUUUCUUCGAUAAGAACUCUAGAAAAGAUUACGCUGUUAUCCCUAAGGUAAUUUUAUCUUAUCAUCCAAAUCUAGGCUCUUGUAUUCAUUAAUCAAUGCUAUAUAUAUAAAAAAAAGUUAGUUUAAUUUUUCUGUCACCCCAACAAAAUAACUUUACAACUAGUCCUAAAAAAAUUCUUAUAAACUUCUAGCUAUAAAACUAUAAAACUCUAUAGGGUCUUCUCGUCUUCUACUAUCAUUUAAGCUUUCUCACUUAAAAAUAAAAUUCAAUUAAAUUUUCAUAGAGACAGUAUUCUUUUCAUCAAACCUUUCAUUCCAGCUCUCAAUUAAAAAACUAAUGAUUAUGCUACCUUUGUACGGUCAAUUUACCGCAGCCAUUUAAUUAAUCAUUGGGCAGGUCAGACCUGAAAUUAUAAUCAACAAGCCAUGUUUUUAAUAACAGG